GAACGAAGCACUUGAUGGAUUCUUCGGAAGGAAGCUCAAGUGACUGAGUGGCGGACGGGUGAGUAACGCGUGGGUAACCUGCCUCAUACAGGGGGAUAACAGUUAGAAAUGACUGCUAAUACCGCAUAAGCACACGUGAUCGCAUGAUCGAGUGUGAAAAACUCCGGUGGUAUGAGAUGGACCCGCGUCUGAUUAGCUAGUUGGUGGGGUAACGGCCCACCAAGGCGACGAUCAGUAGCCGGCCUGAGAGGGUGAACGGCCACAUUGGGACUGAGACACGGCCCAAACUCCUACGGGAGGCAGCAGUGGGGAAUAUUGCACAAUGGGGGAAACCCUGAUGCAGCGACGCCGCGUGAAGGAUGAAGUAUUUCGGUAUGUAAACUUCUAUCAGCAGGGAAGAAAAUGACGGUACCUGACUAAGAAGCCCCGGCUAACUACGUGCCAGCAGCCGCGGUAAUACGUAGGGGGCAAGCGUUAUCCGGAUUUACUGGGUGUAAAGGGAGCGUAGACGGCAGUGCAAGUCUGAAGUGAAAGCCCGGGGCUCAACCCCGGGACUGCUUUGGAAACUGUGCAGCUAGAGUGUCGGAGAGGCAAGCGGAAUUCCUAGUGUAGCGGUGAAAUGCGUAGAUAUUAGGAGGAACACCAGUGGCGAA
RNAcentral lists this ribosomal RNA (653 nucleotides) under uncultured Lachnospiraceae bacterium. Its description in RNAcentral is "bacterial SSU rRNA". It matches the Rfam family "Bacterial small subunit ribosomal RNA", at positions 64 to 719 of the family's 1533-position model. Lineage: Bacteria; Bacillati; Bacillota; Clostridia; Lachnospirales; Lachnospiraceae. The record is from RNAcentral.